RNAcentral lists this transfer RNA (69 nucleotides) under Ictidomys tridecemlineatus (thirteen-lined ground squirrel). RNAcentral describes it as "Spermophilus tridecemlineatus (thirteen-lined ground squirrel) tRNA". It matches the Rfam family "tRNA". From Rfam's summary of the family: Transfer RNA (tRNA) molecules are approximately 80 nucleotides in length. Lineage: Eukaryota; Metazoa; Chordata; Mammalia; Rodentia; Sciuridae. The record is from Rfam by way of RNAcentral.
GGGGUUGUGGCUCAGUGGAAGAGCGCUUGCCUGGCACGUGUGAGGCCCUGGGUUCGAUUCUCAGCACCA